Molecule: transfer RNA, 73 nt
Filed under: Bos taurus (domestic cattle)
Lineage: Eukaryota; Metazoa; Chordata; Mammalia; Artiodactyla; Bovidae
Also listed under: 3 other names
Rfam family: tRNA
About the family: Transfer RNA (tRNA) molecules are approximately 80 nucleotides in length. Their secondary structure includes four short double-helical elements and three loops (D, anti-codon, and T loops).
Source: Rfam by way of RNAcentral
UCCCUGGUGGUCCAGUGGUUAAGACCCUGUGCUUUCAACAUAGGAGGCCUGAGUUCGAUACCCACUCAGGGAA